CACAGCUUUCAAAGAGAUCUUCAGAGGUUGAUGAAGCUUAGACAGACAAGAAGUUCUGAAGUCUUUAUCCUCUGAACGUUGAAUCUUCUGAAGUCCAACAUCUUCUGAGCGCUUGUGAACUUCUGAAUUCACAUCCUCUGAACUUCACUCAGGACUUAAAUGAUGCUUAUAUCUGCGCACUUAAAAUAAAUUUUUAGUCCUUCCAAUUGUUUAUUAAUACUUUGUUAUCAUCAAAACCUUUAUAGAUUUAGGGGCAAACAUUUUAAAAUCAAUUUUGUUCCAACA
RNAcentral lists this long non-coding RNA (285 nucleotides) under Trifolium pratense (red clover). Its description in RNAcentral is "long non-coding RNA (TPRA_LNC004286)". Lineage: Eukaryota; Viridiplantae; Streptophyta; Magnoliopsida; Fabales; Fabaceae. The record is from RNAcentral.